This is a small nucleolar RNA of Ipomoea triloba (trilobed morning glory), 115 nucleotides long. RefSeq annotates it as small nucleolar RNA snoR135. Lineage: Eukaryota; Viridiplantae; Streptophyta; Magnoliopsida; Solanales; Convolvulaceae. The transcript has a single exon. The record is from RefSeq and is a predicted model, not a curated record.
ACAAUAAAGAAAGUUUGACUGAAAGAGUUCUCUGCAAAACUAUACAUUGGGGAAGAUGGGCAGUUGUGUUUCAUCCUCUUGUUGAGAUAUUUCAACAAUCAUCUUCCGUACAUUC